GACGAACGCUGGCGGCGUGCUUAACACAUGCAAGUCGAGCGGUAAGGCCCUUUCGGGGGUACGACGAGCGGCGAACGGGUGAGUAACACGUGGGUGACCUGCCCUCAGCUCUGGGAUAAGCCUGGGAAACCGGGUCUAAUACCGGAUAUGACUCCAUGACGCAUGUUGUGGGGUGGAAAGCCUUGUGCGGCUGAGGAUGGGCCCGCGGCCUAUCAGCUUGUUGGUGGGGUGAUGGCCUACCAAGGCGACGACGGGUAGCCGGCCUGAGAGGGCGACCGGCCACACUGGGACUGAGACACGGCCCAGACUCCUACGGGAGGCAGCAGUGGGGAAUCUUGCGCAAUGGGCGAAAGCCUGACGCAGCGACGCCGCGUGAGGGAUGACGGG
This 387-nucleotide ribosomal RNA is filed under the name uncultured bacterium. RNAcentral's name for it is "bacterial SSU rRNA". It matches the Rfam family "Bacterial small subunit ribosomal RNA", at positions 28 to 415 of the family's 1533-position model. The record is from RNAcentral.